This is a long non-coding RNA of Brassica napus (rape), 1517 nucleotides long. RefSeq lists it as uncharacterized. NCBI's taxonomy places the organism in Eukaryota, Viridiplantae, Streptophyta, Magnoliopsida, Brassicales, Brassicaceae. The record is from RefSeq and is a predicted model, not a curated record. The transcript is spliced from 2 exons.
GUUUUAGAUGUUAGGUUUUUGGCUCUUAUUACAUGUUAUGUUUAUUCACCAAAGGAGUUCUUCUGUAAAUGUUAUAAUCACAUCAAAUUAGAGAAAACAGCCAUAAAAACCUUGAACUUUCAAAUUAAAGCCAAAAAAAUCUUAAAUUUAUGUUUAAACUAUAAAAUAUUUGUUUAAACUAAACAAUUUUUAAAUAUUGGUCAUUUCAACUUUCAAUUUUUGUUAACUAUGCUAUUUUAUGAACCUAAAAAAUCAACUGUUAAAUUCGUAAACUCUGUUAAUUCGAUAAACGAUGUCGUUUUAAAAAUAAUUAAACAUUAAUGAAAUGAGAUCGUUUUACAUCUGUAAGCAUUUAAAUCAUCUCCUCUUUCGCAAAACAUAAUGUUUUUAAUUUUUUAAUCUCUCAAUCUUCUAAUCUCCAAAAUCCAUAGCCAUUGAUAAUAUAAAGGAUGGCUAGGAUGAUUGAGUUGCUUCGUAUUCGUCGUAGUGAUAUUUUAAACAAAAAGUGUUAGAAAAGUUACGAUUGAACAACAUAAUCAAGUCGGUAAAUAAGGUGAUAAUGAAGAUGAUAAUCUAUACUAUAUUAAAAGGGAUAUAUGAGCUCCAUUGAGCCUAUCCACGUCAGCCAAUUAAAUCAACCAAUCAUACAGUUUUAAUGAUCCACGUCAUCAUCAUCACCACGACUUAUCUCCUCCCUCCUCCUUCAAUUAAUCAUCGUCUCUAUGAUCACUCACGCUUCAGCUUCUCCUAUAUUCUAUAUACAAGCUUUUUUUUUUUUGGUUCUGCGACACUGGUCUGUGGUCUCAACUUCACCCGCCUUCGUCUCCAUGGACGGAUCGAAGGAAACGUCAACAAGCUCUGUGAUCAAUUCAAGAAAUCUUCUCGGAUAAAAGUUGAAUCUAGAAAUUCCAACACGAAGAAGAGAAGAUCUUCGCCGUUCUUUUUUGUUACAGAUCUAAAUCAUUUUUAAUUCUUUGGAUCUCUAUCUUCCUCAAUCACCACCACCACCACACGACGACCACCCGUUUGUUUUCGUCGUCCCAGCAUCACCACCACCACCACCACACGACCGUUCGUUCGCCGUCCCAGCAUCACCACCACCACCACCACACAACCACGGGGUGGAGGAAGCAAGGCAAGGCAGGUAUGGCGGCUGGAGGAGGAAGAUGACGGCUUCAGAUUCAGGAAGAGGAAGCUGACGGCGAGUUAGUGAAGAGGCGACGAGAUUAGGUCUAGAUGGAUGUGACGUUUGCCUCCUCUCUGCAACUUGCCUUUCAAAUCCCAGGAUGAAGAAGAAGAAUCGUGGCUGGAUACUGAUGAAGGUCAUGGAAAAACACAAAGACGAAGGUGGUGGUGCGGCCGGUAGAUGAAGAAGACAACGAAGUGGUGGUGUGUUUAGUUAGUAAUUAGGUUAAAGCCUGGUUUAGUUUUUGGUUUAUUUAGUUUGUUGGUUUAUUAUUUAAUUAGAUUUUUUUGUAUUUUUGUAAACUAAUUUAAUUAUAAAUAAAUUUAAGUAA